CUUGACAUCCAGCGAAUUUCCAGAGAUGGAUUGGUGCCUUCGGGAACGCUGAGACAGGUGCUGCAUGGCUGUCGUCAGCUCGUGUUGUGAAAUGUUGGGUUAAGUCCCGCAACGAGCGCAACCCUUAUCCUUUGUUGCCAGCGAUUCGGUCGGGAACUCAAAGGAGACUGCCGGUGAUAAACCGGAGGAAGGUGGGGAUGACGUCAAGUCAUCAUGGCCCUUACGAGUAGGGCUACACACGUGCUACAAUGGCGCAUACAAAGAGAAGCGACCUCGCGAGAGCAAGCGGACCUCAUAAAGUGCGUCGUAGUCCGGAUCGGAGUCUGCAACUCGACUCCGUGAAGUCGGAAUCGCUAGUAAUCGUGGAUCAGAAUGCCACGGUGAAUACGUUCCCGGGCCUUGUACACACCGCCCGUCACACCAUGGGAGUGGGUUGCAAAAGAAGUAGGUAGCUUAACCUUCGGGAGGGCGCUUACCACUUUGUGAUUCAUGACUGGGGUGAAGUCGUAACAAGGUAGGCGUAGCGAG
RNAcentral lists this ribosomal RNA (528 nucleotides) under uncultured bacterium. RNAcentral describes it as "bacterial SSU rRNA". It matches the Rfam family "Bacterial small subunit ribosomal RNA", at positions 980 to 1509 of the family's 1533-position model. The record is from RNAcentral.